This 872-nucleotide long non-coding RNA is filed under the name Homo sapiens (human). RNAcentral describes it as "HSALNT0231727". Lineage: Eukaryota; Metazoa; Chordata; Mammalia; Primates; Hominidae. The record is from RNAcentral.
ACUUCUACACAAGGAGAUUCAUCUUCCUCUUUGACUGAACAUCAAAUAGCAUUCCCUCCACAAGUGGAGGGACUAACUUGUCAUUAACAAGACAUCCAGGGACUCUUUCUUUCCUAAGGAACAUCACCACACUCAGCCAGCUGCACAAUCUGCCAUAGCUGUGUUCUGAGAACUUCUGUAAACAAAGUAAUAUUAAUUAUGGAGAUGAUGAAAUCACAAUCAAAAUUCCAAACUAAGUUCAUCUGCAACCCACGAUCACACUACAUCUUGGCGGGAAUAUGCUGGUUUGAAGUAGUCAAGGGCUGGAGUUUGAAAGAGGAACAAAUGAAGCCUGACCUUGGGAGGAACUUCCAAAGAUUCUGAGCCAACUCCCAACAGGGAGCUCUCAGGAUUCAGCGAGUGUCCUGAGUGUGCUGUCUGUCUGUGACGCCGGCUAGGCCAAGCCUGAUGGUUCCUCAUGAGAAUGUCCUGGCCUGUGCUGCUGAAGGUGUGGUCCACAGUGGGGUCAGUCUGCUGUUUCCAGUCUCCAAUGCAACUCAUCCAUGAACAUAUGUGCAGAGUUUGUAAACCUUCCAUUUUUCUGUUAUUUCUGUAUGUAUUUAUUGAUUUUUUUGUGUAAAAUGUAAAACAUGGGUUCUGUAUUUUGUGUUUCAUUAUCUUCAUAGUUAAUAUUACUUUAUUUACAAAGGUUUAGGUCUGGGAUGGAUAGAAAAUGAAAACUGUCCCUUCACCGUGGAGUUUGAGAAGCCCCGUGGAGGAUUCAAGUAAUUUAGGCAUUGGAAUCCACCUCCUGUGGUCACUUUCAAGCCUAAAAUCCGCGGAGGAUCUGAACUUGGGCAGGGAAACCUGAGAAUAAACAUGAGGAAUGGAGA